UAGCUAUGAUGAACAACCUUCGUGUACCAAAUGACGAUCUCCUUGAUCCGUCGGUGACGGCAACACAACCUCUAAGAAGUUCUGAGCAG
RNAcentral lists this small nucleolar RNA (89 nucleotides) under Macleaya cordata. Its description in RNAcentral is "Small nucleolar RNA U61". It matches the Rfam family "Small nucleolar RNA U61". Lineage: Eukaryota; Viridiplantae; Streptophyta; Magnoliopsida; Ranunculales; Papaveraceae. The record is from Rfam by way of RNAcentral.